Mangifera indica (mango) is the source of this 528-nucleotide long non-coding RNA. RefSeq lists it as uncharacterized. The record is from RefSeq and is a predicted model, not a curated record. NCBI's taxonomy places the organism in Eukaryota, Viridiplantae, Streptophyta, Magnoliopsida, Sapindales, Anacardiaceae. The transcript has 3 exons.
CAAAAUAGAAUCAAAGAAUAUUUGGAAGGAAACUAAAUCAUCAAAUUUAGAAUUAUGACUUCAACAUCAUCCACCAUAACUGCUAGAUAUCCCAAUGAGUACUAUCAUCAACAGUGGAAUUAACAAGAUAUGUAGCCUCACCCAAUUCAAUUCUUAAUCUCCCAACCCAUUAGAUUGCUGGAACAUAUAAUUUGGAAAAUGGUGUGAAUUUUGGUGAUGGUUUUGUGGAGGUAUCAGCUGCCACCCAAAGGCAAGGCAAAUCAAGGAAGAAUUGGUUUCAGGGUACAAAGAUGUUGUAACACAGUUCAUCUGGUUGUUUGAGAUCAGAAAAAAUUCCAGAAGAAGAAUAGGUUGGCGUUAACGCCAACCCCUCGGACCCCAGUGAAUUUAUUUAUUUUUUUCUGUUUUUUUCUAUUAUACUCAAUUCUUUUAUUUUUUAUGUUUGCAUAUUCCAAUCUGAUGCUCAUAUAUGUAUUAUUUUUUUUGUCUUGAUAGAGAGUUAUAUAAAAAAUUAUAAAAUUAUCAUUA